Molecule: long non-coding RNA, 426 nt
Organism: Priapulus caudatus
Lineage: Eukaryota; Metazoa; Priapulida; Priapulimorpha; Priapulimorphida; Priapulidae
Exons: 2
Source: RefSeq, a predicted model, not a curated record
CAUGAUGGGAAGCCGUUAUGCAUCAGCCGUGCUAUUCAGCUAUUGUUGUCCCUGAGAGGUUGUGGGCGUGGCGGAGCGGAGAGUCAUGUCUACUAGCAGCUGCAUCUAGCGUAUCCGAUUAUAACAUCCCGCCACCCAAACGGAAAUGCAACUACUACAUGACGUCACGACACACCGGCAACAGCAACAAGAGGAUUCUAAAUAAUUAGUACUAUAAUAAUUAGUACUAUAAUAAUUAGUACUAUAAUAAUUAGUACUAUAAUAAUUAGUACUAUAAUAAUGACUCCAUGUAGGAGUUCAGACGUGGAGUAACUAAUGCAAGACAAGGCAGGAUAAAUGUGCCGCGUUAGACUGAUAGAUUGUUCUGAUGUGCUAUUUUGCUAAAGUUAGCUAUCCAAAUAAAAUGUUCAGCUGAUGGUAUAUCAA